This 713-nucleotide ribosomal RNA is filed under the name uncultured bacterium. RNAcentral describes it as "bacterial SSU rRNA". It matches the Rfam family "Bacterial small subunit ribosomal RNA", at positions 46 to 734 of the family's 1533-position model. The record is from RNAcentral.
GGAUUAGGCAUGCAAGUCGAACGAGGAAGUGCCCCGUAAGGCAAGCUAGUGGCGAAAGGGUGAGUAAUGCAUUGAUAACCUGCCUUUGAGAUGGGAAUAACUGCGUUUCGAGCAAUCGGAACUACCGAAAGGGCUGCUAAUACCCAAUAAUACUAUAGGUGCAAAAGCACUUGUGGUCAAAUGCUAGGAAUUCUGUUCCUUGUGCUUAAAGAGGGGUUAAUGUCCUAUCAGCUAGUUGGUGGGGUAAUGGCCUACCAAGGCAAAGACGGGUAGCCGGCUUGAGAGGGUGGUCGGCCACACUGGGACUGAGACACUGCCCAGACUCCUACGGGAGGCUGCAGUCGAGAAUCUUUCGCAAUGCCGAWAGGUGACGAAGCGACGCGCGUGUGGGAAGAAGGCCUUCGGGUUGUAAACCACUGUCAGGAGUUAGGAAAUGCAGGUGCGUUAAUAGCGCACUUGCUUGACUAAGGCUCCAGAGGAAGCCACGGCUAACUCUGUGCCAGCAGCCGGGUAAUACAGAGGCGGCAAGCGUUGUUCGGAAUUAUUGGGGCGUAAAGAGCACGUAGGCGGCCUUGCAAGUCAGUUGUGAAAGCUUCGUUAACGGAAGAACGCAUCUGAUACUACAGGGCUUGAGUACGGGAGGGGAGAGUGGACUUCUGGUGGAGCGGUGAAUGCGUAGAUAUCAGAGACGCGCGGCAAAGCGCUCUCUGUCG